UUUGACCGAGCCAAGCCAGAGCGGUCGUUCGCGGUCUUGUCCGUAGGUGGCCAGCAGUGCCCGGGCUUC
Molecule: antisense RNA, 69 nt
Filed under: Nocardia tenerifensis
Lineage: Bacteria; Bacillati; Actinomycetota; Actinomycetes; Mycobacteriales; Nocardiaceae
Description: ASpks TB sRNA
Rfam family: ASpks TB sRNA
Source: RNAcentral